RNAcentral lists this ribosomal RNA (254 nucleotides) under uncultured bacterium. RNAcentral describes it as "partial 16S ribosomal RNA". It matches the Rfam family "Bacterial small subunit ribosomal RNA", at positions 524 to 776 of the family's 1533-position model. The record is from RNAcentral.
UACGGGGGGAGCAAGCGUUGUUCGGAUUUACUGGGCGUAAAGGGCGGGUAGGCGGCCACCGCAAGUCAGUUGUGAAAUCUCCGGGCUUAACCCGGAAAGGUCAACUGAUACUGCGGGGCUAGAGUGCGGAAGGGGCAACUGGAAUUCUCGGUGUAGCGGUGAAAUGCGUAGAUAUCGAGAGGAACACCUGCGGCGAAGGCGGGUUGCUGGGCCGACACUGACGCUGAUGCGCGAAAGCCAGGGGAGCGAACGGG